AGUGAACGCUGGCGGUAGGCCUAACACAUGCAAGUCGAACGGCAGCACAGUAAGAGCUUGCUCUUACGGGUGGCGAGUGGCGGACGGGUGAGGAAUACAUCGGAAUCUACUUUUUCGUGGGGGAUAACGUAGGGAAACUUACGCUAAUACCGCAUACGACCUACGGGUGAAAGCAGGGGAUCUUCGGACCUUGCGCGAUUGAAUGAGCCGAUGUCGGAUUAGCUAGUUGGCGGGGUAAAGGCCCACCAAGGCGACGAUCCGUAGCUGGUCUGAGAGGAUGAUCCGCCACACUGGCACUGAGACACGGUCCAGACUCCUACGGGAGGCAGCAGUGGGGAAUAUUGGACAAUGGGCGCAAGCCUGAUCCAGCCAUACCGCGUGGGUGAAGAAGGCCUUCGGGUUGUAGAGCCCUUUUGUUGGGAAAGAAAAGCAGCAGGUUAAUACCCCGCUGUUCUGACGGUACCCAAAGAAUAAGCACCGGCUAACUUCGUG
RNAcentral lists this ribosomal RNA (492 nucleotides) under uncultured bacterium. RNAcentral's name for it is "partial 16S ribosomal RNA". It matches the Rfam family "Bacterial small subunit ribosomal RNA", at positions 29 to 507 of the family's 1533-position model. The record is from RNAcentral.